Molecule: long non-coding RNA, 300 nt
Organism: Photinus pyralis (common eastern firefly)
Lineage: Eukaryota; Metazoa; Arthropoda; Insecta; Coleoptera; Lampyridae
Exons: 2
Source: RefSeq, a predicted model, not a curated record
CCGUUGUGUUCCAGACUCCAGUGAUGAAAGUCGCACUACUUGUCGUACUCGCUACCACUUUGGUUCAAGCUAAAUCUCUGCAGGAGAAUCAAGGAAGCGAUGGCGGGGAAACGACGACUAGAUAUGAUCGGAGUACCAGUACGACGGUCAAUAUGAGGGAUGCGAUGCAGGGAACUGGAAACAAGUUGAGGGACAAAAUCAAAUCCGUUACUAUAGGGGAUAUUUGCACCGCAACCACGAAGCCUCUUAGACAGUAGAUGCGGGAGAAGACAAUGGAAAUAAAUGUUUUUUUGAAAUGAA